This is a long non-coding RNA of Monopterus albus (swamp eel), 501 nucleotides long. RefSeq lists it as uncharacterized. The transcript has 3 exons. The record is from RefSeq and is a predicted model, not a curated record. NCBI's taxonomy places the organism in Eukaryota, Metazoa, Chordata, Actinopteri, Synbranchiformes, Synbranchidae.
CUCCGUACAGACAUUCCAGUGUUAUCCUUGCUUUCAUGAAUCAUGUUAUUUACCCCAGAUUGUUUCCUGACCACUGAUUUCUGCCUAACCCUCCGGAUUGUGGUUGAGUCAGGAGUGACCCAGUUGCAUAGGUUCAGGAGGCUCUGUUGAAGUUGGGACAAAAUCAUGGGAGAGGCACCUGACGUCUCCAUUCAGACUGUCUUUCUCUAUACCGACCAUCAAUUCUGGUUACCAGAUCCAUGAAUGCUCAGAGACGUCUGGGCCGGUUAUACGCAGCUGAAACAAAGGUGAUGGGCUACAGCUGCAGAAACCUGCCCAGAAGUGGGUUAGAUGGGGAGAAGCCAGCAAUAACUGAUGGUCCUAACUGGAGCCAGGUUUGAAUGUAACUAAGUACUUCAUGUCUAAAUUACAAGAUUUGAGUGCAAAUUAGCUGUCACUGCCACUUGAGCAUUAAUGGAGAAUAUAUGCAAAAUAGAAGACUGAACAUAAAGGUAGGUGAGA